Molecule: ribosomal RNA, 483 nt
Filed under: uncultured bacterium
Lineage: Bacteria
Description: partial 16S ribosomal RNA
Rfam family: Bacterial small subunit ribosomal RNA
Source: RNAcentral
AUUGAACGCUGGCGGCAGGCCUAACACAUGCAAGUCGAGCGGAUGAAGGGAGCUUGCUCCUGGAUUCAGCGGCGGACGGGUGAGUAAUGCCUAGGAAUCUGCCUGGUAGUGGGGGAUAACGUCCGGAAACGGGCGCUAAUACCGCAUACGUCCUGAGGGAGAAAGUGGGGGAUCUUCGGACCUCACGCUAUCAGAUGAGCCUAGGUCGGAUUAGCUAGUUGGUGGGGUAAAGGCCUACCAAGGCGACGAUCCGUAACUGGUCUGAGAGGAUGAUCAGUCACACUGGAACUGAGACACGGUCCAGACUCCUACGGGAGGCAGCAGUGGGGAAUAUUGGACAAUGGGCGAAAGCCUGAUCCAGCCAUGCCGCGUGUGUGAAGAAGGUCUUCGGAUUGUAAAGCUCUUUAAGUUGGGAGGAAGGGCAGUAAGUUAAUACCUUGCUGUUUUGACGUUACCAACAGAAUAAGCACCGGCGAACUUCGU